GGGGGGUGGAUCGCAACUGAUCAUACGGGCUCUAAACCCGUACAGCCGGGUGGGACUCCCGGACUCCCCGCCA
Molecule: transfer RNA, 73 nt
Filed under: Deltaproteobacteria bacterium
Lineage: Bacteria; Pseudomonadati; Myxococcota; Myxococcia
Description: tRNA-OTHER
Source: RNAcentral